This 253-nucleotide unclassified non-coding RNA is filed under the name uncultured Planctomycetia bacterium. RNAcentral's name for it is "contains 16S-23S intergenic spacer region". It matches the Rfam family "Bacterial small subunit ribosomal RNA", at positions 524 to 776 of the family's 1533-position model. The record is from RNAcentral. Lineage: Bacteria; Pseudomonadati; Planctomycetota; Planctomycetia.
UACGAACUGUGCGAACGUUAUUCGGAAUCACUGGGCCUAAAGAGCGCGUAGGCGGCGUUGUCAGUUGGAGGUGAAAUCCCACGGCUCAACCGUGGAACUGCCCCCAAUACUGCAAUGCUUGAGGAAGGUAGGGGUUUGUGGAACUUCUGGUGGAGCGGUGAAAUGUGUUGAGAUCGGAAGGAACGCCGGCGGCGAAAGCGACAAACUGGAUCUUCUCUGACGCUGAGGCGCGAAAGCUAGGGGAGCGAACGGG